AUGAUGAUGAUGUCCGACGACGACGAUGACUCGGACCCGCAGUUCAAUGUGGUGGCGGAUUACUUCUUCGUCGAUGCGGAGAAGAACCCCAUCUGUCUCUCAGCCUUGCCGAUUCGGUUCGAGCAAGGCACGGAUGAGGCCACUCAAUGCAAACAGAACAUCUUCUUGCGGGGAGUCGCUGACUCUGGCAUCACAGUUUACACGCAUGUGGUUGCCUGGAAGCUGGGGCUUGAAGGCAAGCAGCCCGUGAUCGCCGUGCUGUCCGUGGAAGGCAGCUGGAUAAAUCUCGCCAAGCCCAGGAACAGCUACGAAGAAGAGUUCCGAACAAUUUUCAUCACAGUGCGGAUGCUUCACUUCCUCAGAAGAAAACCUGAGGAGCCUGAGAAGAACAUGUGGAGUCAUCUUCGCAAAGUUUUUGACAAGUUUGACCUUAGACCCUCCAAGGACGAUUUCAGGAACCACCGUUCCCUAUUGAAGCUGUUUGCUGAGAAAGAUUUGAACUUAGCAAAAUCACAGGUUUUGCAAGCAUUUAUUGAAGAAGGAUCUAAGACGCAAAUUAGCGAGGUUGAGUCAGAUAAUAUUGAAAUGAAGCAGUCAUUUAUUGCCUCUGAUGAGGAGAUAGAGGAUAUGGUUUCUGAUGGAAAUUCUGAAUCUGAUGAAGAGGAGGAUGAUUUGUUUGAUUUUACUUGUGCCAUAUGUGACAAUGGAGGAGACUUGUUAGGGUGUGAUGGCCCAUGUAUGAGGUCCUUCCAUGCCAAAAUAGGCACAGGCGAAGAUUCGUAUUGUGAUACCCUUGGGUUCACUGAGGCAGAAGUUGAGGCAAUGAAAACUUUUCUGUGCAAGAACUGUGAGUAUAAGCAACACCAGUGCUUUAUUUGUGGAGUAUUAGAGCCUUCGGAUGGACCAACUGCUAAGGUGUUUCUUUGUAACAAUGCUACAUGUGGGUACUUUUACCACCCCAAAUGUGUUGCAAGAAAACUUCAUCCUAACAACAAGGUUGAAGCCUUAGAAAAGGAGAACAAGAUAAUAGGUGGAUCUUCAUUUACGUGCCCCAUUCAUUGGUGUUUUCACUGUAAAGGCUUGGAGGAUAGAUCACAAGAACAAUUGCAGUUUGCUGUUUGCAGACGCUGUCCAAAGUCAUAUCAUAGAAAAUGUUUGCCAAGAGAAAUACCCUUUGAAGAUAGCGACGAGGACAUUGUUACACGAGCCUGGGACCUUUCAAAAAGAAUUUUGAUCUACUGUUUGGACCAUGAGAUAGAUAGUGACAUUGAGACACCUGUCAGGAAUCAUAUAAAGUUUCCUGGUAUUCCAAAAAUUGUAAAACCAGCAGAUUACCUAAAGAGAAAAAACAAGGUGUUGAUUAACAAGAGAAAGAGAGAUUUUGAUGAAUCAUUUCCUGACCAACCUUCAAUUAAAGCUGCAAAGCUGCCAGUCAAGGUUCGGGUGCAAGAAGAACAUGCCAGAAAAUUUGCUGUGAAGAGUUCAUCGGAGCAAUUUGUUGACAAGCCUGAGAAGAAAAAACCAAAGGUCAAAGAUACUUCUGCAAGCAGUUCAAGACCUGCAAAUGAGCAGGAAAAAUACUUGGCAACUUCAUCCUUAUCUACUAUGGGGAGCUUGCCCCAGAGUUCAUUUCCUAGGGUGGACAGUGAAACAGAGAAGAGGGUAAUUGCUUUGGUAGAGAAAGAAGGCUCUUCCUUGACACUAAAAGAUAUAUCAAGCAGGUGCCUUGUGCCCUCAACUCAUGUAUACGCUGGCAGGCAAACUGAUAAGAUUGUUGCGACGGGCAAGCUUGAGCGUUCUGUUCAGGCUGUAGGAGCAGCUCUAAAAGCGCUUGGUAAUGGAGGUAAUGUUAAUGAGGCGAAAGCAGUGUGUGAACCUCAAGUUUUGAAGCAGCUAACAAAGUGGCAUACUAGGCUCAGAGUAUAUAUUUCACCUUUCAUUUAUGGAUCACGCUACAGUUCUUUUGGUCGACAUUUCACAAAGGUGGACAAGCUUGUUGAGAUUGUUGAUAAACUUAAUUGGUAUGUGGAACCUGGUGAUACGAUAGUGGAUUUCUGCUGUGGCGCAAAUGAUUUCAGUCGAUUGAUGAAAGAAAAACUUGAUGAAGUUGACAAGAAGUGUUAUUUCAAGAAUUAUGAUCUUAUCCAACCACAGAAUAGCUUUUGCUUUGAAAGGAGGGAUUGGAUGACUGUGCAGCCAGACGAACUGCCUGGCGGAAGCCGACUGAUAAUGGGGCUUAAUCCUCCUUUUGGAGUCAAAGCAGCUCUGGCGAACAAAUUUAUCGACAAAGCAUUGUCUUUUAAGCCCAAGCUUGUUAUACUAAUUGUCCCAAAAGAAACUAAAAGGUUAGAUCAAAAGAAGACACCUUAUGAUUUGGUUUGGGAGGAUAGUAACUGUCUUGCUGGGAAGUCGUUUUAUUUGCCUGGUUCUCUCGAUGUGAAUGACAAAAUAGUUCAAGGGUGGAAUGCAUCUGCACCACCCCUCUAUUUGUGGAGUCGUUCUGAUUGGACAAAAAAGCAUAAGGAAGUAGCCAAGAUGCAUAAUCACACAAGUGUGGGGAAAAUCACUCGCCGUGUUGAACAGGGUAAUUUGUCAGAUGACGGCCCUGCGAAGAAAGAAGCUGAAUCUUCUGAUGUGCUUAAUUCAAGAUCAGGGAAAGAAAAGGAGAAUAUAGGAAAUACCUCAUGCCACCCAAGAGAGGUCAAUCUAUCAGAUAAUGUACCUGCACGGAGAAAAGCUGAACCUAAGAGUAAACAAAAUGCUAGAUCAGGAAAAGCUAAAGAGACUAGAGAGAAGGCUACAUGUGAUUUCAGAGAGGAUAGUCCAUCAGGAAAAGCAGAAGAGAGAAGGCAUAAGGCGGCAUGCUCUGUCGGAGAGGUUAGUCCAUCAGAUGACCACCUUGUGAAGAAACAAGAUAGACUUGGAGAAGAGAAAGCAGCCAGAAAGGCCAACUUCACGGUGAAGAAGCAAGCUAGGCCCAGAGAAGAAAAAGAAGCUAAUCUAUCAGGUAACCACCCCCUGAAGAAACAAGCUGAAGCUACCUCUCAACAAAUUUCCCGACCAGGGAAACAGAAUAGCAGGGAUGGAAGCAAGAGCUCUGAUGACAGGAGCAGGAAAAGGAUCCCUGACGAGGCAGACAGCCUCCCUCCAGAAAAGCAAGUGGAAGUUGCCUAUGAGGAGACAAGAGCUAUUCCAAGUAAAAGGGGUAUGCACCAUGGACAGAGCAAUGGAACUAAUGCUCGUGUAAAGGAAUCGAAAGGGAGUUCAGACAUGAGUAUGUCAUCAUCCCUUGAAAACAGCACUGCUCGUCACAGAUCCAGAAGCAAUUCCCCAUUUAUACCAACUGAACAACCCUCUGGUUAUACGACAGCGCACCGCGAUAGUAAUAUGAAGUAUCAUGUGAAAGAACCUCGCGUCUCUACAUUCAACAGCGCUACUACUUAUCAGGGAAGUUAUUUGGCAAACAGUGAUGGGCGCAAGGAUGCAAUUGGAGAGAGGAAUGACCCCACUUUUUACACGGGUGCUGAUGAUAGGUCAAGUGCGUACAACUCUAGCAUUGAAGAGAUGACCAAAAGGUAUGCCCCUGGCCGAGCUGGGGACGCGUGCAGUCCGCAAGGUCAGGGAAAUGGUGGCAGCUUCUCCAGGAGGCAGGAUGAUCACCUUCAGACCAGUCUUUACUCCCUUGGUUCUUCAGGUGCUAGAUAUGACCAGAUUGGUUCUUCAGGUGCUAGAUAUGACCAGAUUGUUUCUUCAGGUGCAAGAUAUGACCCGCGAUCUUUAACUUCGCCGUCUUAUGGGCUAUUGAGUACAACUCCACGGAGCUCAGUCAUAGACAAGUACAGUCCAGGGUUCUCGGGUUCAAGUGGAUCUGGACCGUCAGUCAUGGACAGCUACGCUCCUGGUUACUUGGGCGCAAAUGCACCAGGAAGAAGCUUGGUAAUGGACAGAUAUGCUCCACCCCUCGAUGAAACGAACUACGCAAUGCGAGGUGUUCAUGAUGUGCCUGGAUAUGGAAGGGACAUGCCUCCACAGUACCCCUACAGAGGGCCAGAUCCUUCUGGCAGAGGGCCGCCUCAUAUUUGA
RNAcentral lists this ribosomal RNA (4083 nucleotides) under Triticum aestivum (bread wheat). RNAcentral's name for it is "partial small subunit ribosomal RNA". The record is from RNAcentral. Lineage: Eukaryota; Viridiplantae; Streptophyta; Magnoliopsida; Poales; Poaceae.